AUGAGCCAGCCUGGAUCUACCGCAUAUGUGAGGAUCACCUCGAAGCUCCCCUCGGUCUCCUCUCCUACUCGUGGUCCUCAGUCACACACCUCUUGGCUGGGACUACACAUAGUUUGCCUGCGCGCGUGCCGCGUCGAUCUCCCGGGCAACGGGUAUUGGGGCCCUGAUAUCAGUUGCGUGAGGGAGGAUGCGAGCUCGUCGUACUCGACGGCGCAGUUGGCACCGGCUUCAAUUGAGGCGUUGAAGGAGUAUGCCCUUAGCUCCUGCAGAUUGUGGUUGUCGGGAUCCUGGGGUUGUUAUCCGUCCCCGAGCGCCGGGCCGGAGGCAUCGUAG
Molecule: ribosomal RNA, 333 nt
Filed under: Triticum aestivum (bread wheat)
Lineage: Eukaryota; Viridiplantae; Streptophyta; Magnoliopsida; Poales; Poaceae
Description: partial small subunit ribosomal RNA
Source: RNAcentral